UACGUAGGGGGCAAGCGUUGUCCGGAUUUAUUGGGCGUAAAGAGCGUGUAGGCGGCUUGGAAGGUCAGCUGUGAAAACUCGAGGCUCAACCUCGAGACGCCGAUGGAAACCAUCUGACUAGAGUCCGGAAGAGGAGAGUGGAAUUCCUGGUGUAGCGGUGAAAUACGCAGAUAUCAGGAAGAACACCCGUGGCUAAGGCGGCUCUCUAGUACGUGACUGACGCUGAGACGCGAAAGCGUGGGGAGCGAACAGG
This 253-nucleotide ribosomal RNA is filed under the name uncultured bacterium. RNAcentral describes it as "partial 16S ribosomal RNA". It matches the Rfam family "Bacterial small subunit ribosomal RNA", at positions 524 to 776 of the family's 1533-position model. The record is from RNAcentral.